UACCAGCCCCCUGAGUGAUAGGGAUGAUUAUUUAGCCUAAAGCGUUCGUAGCCGGCUUAGCAAGUCUUUCGUUAAAUCUAGCGACUUAAUCGUUAGGCCGCAGGGGAUACUGUUAGGCUAGAAGGCGGGAGAGGUUGACGGUAGUCCCGGGGUAGGGGUGAAAUCCUAUAAUCCCGGGAGGACCACCAGUGGCGAAGGCGGUCAACCAGAACGCGCUUGACGGUGAGGGACGAAAGCUGGGGGAGCGAACCGGAUUAGACACCCGGGUAGUCCCAGCUGUAAACGAUGCGGGCUAGGUGUUGGAGCAGCCACGAGUUGCUUCAGUGCCGCAGAGAAGUUGUUAAGCUCGCCGCUUGGGAAGUACGGUCGCAAGGCUGAAACUUAAAGGAAUUGGCGGGGGAGCACCACAAGGGGUGAAGCCUGCGGUUC
RNAcentral lists this ribosomal RNA (429 nucleotides) under uncultured archaeon. RNAcentral describes it as "bacterial SSU rRNA". It matches the Rfam family "Archaeal small subunit ribosomal RNA", at positions 474 to 903 of the family's 1478-position model. The record is from RNAcentral.